RNAcentral lists this unclassified non-coding RNA (2609 nucleotides) under Hevea brasiliensis (rubber tree). The stretch from base 209 to 302 matches the Rfam family "Small nucleolar RNA snoR26". Lineage: Eukaryota; Viridiplantae; Streptophyta; Magnoliopsida; Malpighiales; Euphorbiaceae. The record is from RNAcentral.
GUUAAGCCCAAUAUCUCCAAUACUACCUUCUUUAAAGGAAGGGUUCCGCCGCCCCUAAACGCAACACAUGAAUAAUUAGGGUUUCAGGAGAAAGAAAUGAGAAGCUCAAAAUUUCUCUAAGAAAAAGAGCACUAGCUAAUUUGAUUUUGUUGAUUGUUUUUAAAUUAUGCAUGAUCAAUCAAUUUUACGCUUGCAUUCUUUCUUCUUACGGGCAUCGGUGAUGAGUUGAUAAAAAAAUUGUUAUCCUUGCACUUUGAUUCGCUGUGAAGAAAAUCAUGGGGAUUUAUCGCUCUGAGAUGCUUUUAAUGUAUAUUCUUAUUAUCUUUUUUUUUUCCGAAAGUUAUUGGUUAUCUUCUUCAACUGUAGAAAUCAAGGUGUGCUUGCUCGUUUAGUUCUUUUGUUUUUUUUUUAAUCCGUUUUGUGGAUCAAUGAUGUUACUGAUAUUCUGCGUUAUCUAUCUGCAAAUUGUUUGAAUUGAAGAUAACUGUAACAUGCUGAGAUCCUUCACAUUUAUGUGUUUUCUUAAUGCUCUUUUUAAUUUAAUUUUUCUCUUAUAUUAGAAGAGGAAAAUCAUUUUAUUUUAGUCCCUGUUUGGAUUGCUUAUUGAGGAUGAAACAAAAUUUUUUGAAUAAUUUCUUGCUGCUACAAAACUGAAGAUUGUUUCUUUCUGGGGGAGUGUGUGUGUGUGUGUACUUUCCGUUCUGCCUGCAUUAUUGCUUUUUGGAUUUCUUAUUGUUUAAACAUUUCAUUGGCUCAUGUACACUGUUGUUGGAUCAAUGAUGUUAGUUAGAAACUGCGUUAUCUUCCUGCAACUUCUUAUUGGAAUUGAAGAUUGUCUGUAUAAUUAAUCUGAGAUCCUAUCAGCUUAAAUCGGCCCUGUUAGAAUCACAGGUGCUUGUACUGUUGUAAUGGGGGUUGCUUGUGCUUGUUAUGCAUUUUUAUGAGAUUUUUUUUUGUAAGAUGAGCAUUUUCACUUUGAAUACUUAAGCAUAUUUAACAGAUAGGUAGCUUUUGUUACCAAUCUGAGGAAGUGCUAUGGAGAGUUUGAUAUGAUUAUGUGCUUGAAUCCUACUUUCAAAUUGCAUUUACUUGUAAUUUGAAAUUUAUUGAUGAAAAUUCCUGUAGAAAGAAAAAACUACACUGCUGUUUGCAAUUUGAAUAAAAUUUGAGCAAAAUGAUGUCAAUGGCUGUAGUUGGGAAGGCAAGCAAGAUCAAAGUGAUCAUGUAGCUAGUGGGAUGUGAUUAGACUGGAAUUGAAUGGAUAAUCAACUGUCCAGCAUACAAUAUUGGUUGGUCGACUGGUUCGCAAGUUUUGUAACUACUAUUACUGGCUUUUGGCCCAAGUUAAUCUUACUAUCCAUUUAUUUGGUGUCACCUUUCUUCAUAGGCCAUUUUGUGGAUUAUGAAUUUGGAUUAUUAAUUUCAAAUGGUUUGCUUGAAGAUGUUGUGCCUCGUUUAAUCUCAGAUCCAGUCAUCGAGAAACUAAUUAAAAUUGCUACAUAACUGUUUUCUGGAAGAUGGGUGAAUGAAGUAGGAUUAUAGCCCUGUUUAUUUUUUCAAAUGAUCUACUUUUUAAGAAGCAAGAAGUAAAUUUUUCAAGAAGUAAUUUAAUUGGAUUAGAGUAUUACUUACUGGGAUUAUAGCCGAAGUUGUCUGGAAUAUGAAAUUUCUUUGCUAAAUUACCUUCAAUCAGAAGACCACGCAGCCGUUUCUCAUAGAAAUUUUUUACGUCGUGGACGAAUAAAGUACACAAAUGCACCCUAGAUUUCCUGCCACUCAUUCCAAAACGAGCUGCCCCCUUCUCCAAUCAACCCCUAUAGUCAAAAAAUCCACGGAGGAAAAUCUUCAAGCUCACCCCAUGUAUAGCAAGAUAAAUAUUCAAGUCCUUUCCAAAAUCCACCAUAGAACUUUGUUCGUCUUGUUUAGCACGCACUUGAAACUUAAUUCUACAAAAUGGGAAUGGUUCUUGGAAGGAUCACCGUGGAAACCCCAGAGUAUGAAGUGAUUCAGUCCACCAGUGAAUAUGAAAUCCGCAAAUAUGCACCGUUAGUUCUUGCAGAAUUCACGUAUGAUCCAUCCCUAUUCAAAGGCGACAAAGAUGGCGGAUUCAUGGUGCUAGCUAAUUACAUAGGAGCCGUAGGCAAUCCACAAAACACCAAGCCUGAAAAGAUAGCCAUGACAGCUCCAGUUAUAACCAAAAGUGGUGGUGAAAAGAUUGCCAUGACAGCUCCUGUAGUGACAAAGGAGGGUGCUGGAGGGGAGAAGAUGGUUACUAUGCAGUUUUUGUUGCCCGCCAAGUAUAAGAAGGCAGAGGAGGCACCGAAGCCAACAGAUGAGAGGGUGGUGAUACGGGAAGAGAGGGAGAAGAAGUAUGGGGUGGUGAAAUUUGGAGGUGUGGCUACAGACAAGGUGGUGGAGGAGAAGGUGGAGAAGUUGAAAAAGAGCUUAGAGAGAGAUGGGGCUAAGGUGAACGGGGACUUCGUGUUGGCAAGGUAUAACCCACCUUGGACUUUGCCUCCUUUCAGAACUAAUGAAGUGAUGAUCCCAAUUGAGUGAGUAAGAAGCUGUGUUUUUCUAGUAUCUAAUAAAGGCAGUCGUCUUCUUCUUCU